Peromyscus maniculatus bairdii (prairie deer mouse) is the source of this 1168-nucleotide non-coding RNA. Lineage: Eukaryota; Metazoa; Chordata; Mammalia; Rodentia; Cricetidae. The record is from RefSeq and is a predicted model, not a curated record.
CUCCCAUGGUGCUCCUGGGCCUCCCAUGGUGCUCCUGGGCCUCCCAUGGUGCUCCUUUGCAAACAUGCAAACACUCUGUCCAGGCUCUGGUGGAGGGAGGGGCCCCCUGCCUGUCUGCCUGAGCUGAGGUGGUCUGUUUAUGCUUCAGCCUUUCCAGGGCCCCUAGCCUGCCAUAUUCAGACUGAUCUUGUCCCAUCAGUCCAUGGGGUCCCCAGCCUUCAGGCCGUGGACUUGAGACUUCCCAGCCUCCACAAGCACUCGAGCCAAUUCCUUAUCAUGAGUCAGUUUGUUGCCUAACACACACACACACACACACACACACACACACACACACGCACGCACGCACGCACAUGCACGCACGCGCACACAUACACCCUGCUGCCUCUGUUUCUCUAGAGUACUGGAAGACCCAGCCUUGCUCAGUCAGUCCUGCCCCUGCCAGGCUCCUAUGCCAGUUGCCCUGGUGGCCAUCCCGAUGUGUCUCCUGCUCACCUCAGCCUGUUGGUGUCUCAGGCACACUCCUGACAACACUCUCAGGCCUCCAACCAUGUUGCUUUGGUUAGUCCCCCUCCCCACGAUUCUAUGCUACCCCCCUGCCUCUCGGACAACAGCAGAGUCAACCAUGAGAGGGAGCGAGGCCAAGCUGGCCAAGGGGAGCCCCGACCAGUGGUGUGGCCAGCAUGCCUAUUAGAUGCUCAUCCUCGCCCAGUGGCCGAGGCUGGACAGAAUUCACCUGCUGCUGCACACACCCAGACCCCUCCAGCAUCAGCAGCGUCCAGGAAGCUGGUGACCCCUACAAGCCCGCGGCAGACUCCCUGUUUGUGAAUUUGGCCUGGGAAGAUGCUGUGACCUCCACGGCCUCUGAGGAGUAGCCGGGUCCCAUAGAGAGGACGACAUGGACUGUGUUCCCUCACUCCUCCUCAUUCUCCAUCCUGGGAGCACGGCCAAGAACCCUGACGUGAGCCCCAUCAGAGCUGGGGGUCUCCCCGCACUCUAGGAGCUGCUUAGCACCAGGCUGACAUAUCUUUGAUGGGGCAUCAUAUACAGGAAGCAGCUUGACCCCUGAAGGCCCCUCUUAGCGUGGGAUUGACACCAAGCAUUGACUUUGCUUCAGGCUUAUCCACAAAUCUCAGCCAAUUUUUAUUAAAGAGCCGCGUGUGGUGUGGAA